RNAcentral lists this ribosomal RNA (425 nucleotides) under uncultured bacterium. RNAcentral's name for it is "partial 16S ribosomal RNA". It matches the Rfam family "Bacterial small subunit ribosomal RNA", at positions 354 to 796 of the family's 1533-position model. The record is from RNAcentral.
GUGGGGAAUCUUAGACAAUGGGCGCAAGCCUGAUCUAGCCAUGCCGCGUGAGCGAUGAAGGCCUUAGGGUUGUAAAGCUCUUUCAGGGGGGAAGAUAAUGACGGUACCCAGUAAAGAAACCCCGGCUAACUCCGUGCCAGCAGCCGCGGUAAUACGGCGGGGGUUAGCGUUGUUCGGAAUUACUGGGCGUAAAGCGCGCGUAGGCGGAUUGGAAAGUUGGGGGUGAAAUCCCGGGGCUCAACCCUGGAAUGGCCUUCAAAACUCCCAGUCUUGAAGUCGAGAGAGGUGAGUGGAAUUCCGAGUGUAGAGGUGAAAUUCGUAGAUAUUCGGAGGAACACCAGUGGCGAAGGCGGCUCACUGGCUCGAUACUGACGCUGAGGUGCGAAAGCGUGGGGAGCAAACAGGAUUAGAAACCCCAGUAGUCC